Molecule: transfer RNA, 75 nt
Filed under: Phaeophyceae sp.
Lineage: Eukaryota; Phaeophyceae
Description: tRNA-Met
Rfam family: tRNA
About the family: Transfer RNA (tRNA) molecules are approximately 80 nucleotides in length. Their secondary structure includes four short double-helical elements and three loops (D, anti-codon, and T loops).
Source: RNAcentral
UGCGCUGUAGAGCAGCCAGGUUAGCUCGCUAGGCUCAUGCCCUGGAGGUCGUAGGUUCAAAUCCUACCGGCGCUA